Molecule: ribosomal RNA, 269 nt
Filed under: uncultured prokaryote
Description: partial 16S ribosomal RNA
Rfam family: Bacterial small subunit ribosomal RNA
Source: RNAcentral
CACGUAGGGUGCAAGCGUUGUCCGGAAUUAUUGGGCGUAAAGAGCUCGUAGGCGGCAUGUCGCGUCUGCUGUGAAAGACCGGGGCUCAACUUCGGUUUUGCAGUGGAUACGGGCAUGCUAGAGGUAGGUAGGGGAGACUGGAAUUCCUGGUGUAGCGGUGGAAUGCGCAGAUAUCGGGAGGAACACCGGUGGCGAAGGCGGCUUUCUGGCCAGUUACUGACGCUCAUGCGCGAAAGCUGGGGUAGCGAACCGGAUUAGAUACCCGGGUA